Molecule: small nuclear RNA, 168 nt
Organism: Protopterus annectens (West African lungfish)
Lineage: Eukaryota; Metazoa; Chordata; Ceratodontiformes; Protopteridae
Product: U1 spliceosomal RNA
Exons: 1
Source: RefSeq, a predicted model, not a curated record
AUAUGUGUGGCCUGGCAGGGGGAAAUACCACAAUCAAGACGGUGGUUUCUCCAGUGUAAGGAUCUUCUGUUGCACUUUUGUUGAGUUGACCCCUGUGAUGUCUGCAAAUAUGGAAAACUCACAUGCAUAAUUUAUGGUACUGGGGUACUAUGUUUGCACAUUUAUUUA